AGUUAUUUGGCCGAGAAAAAAGCAUGUGUUUUGAAAACUCAUAACAGAAAUAAAAUUCUAAUAACUU
This 67-nucleotide transfer RNA is filed under the name Tricholepidion gertschi. Its description in RNAcentral is "tRNA-Ser". It matches the Rfam family "tRNA". Rfam says of the family: Transfer RNA (tRNA) molecules are approximately 80 nucleotides in length. Their secondary structure includes four short double-helical elements and three loops (D, anti-codon, and T loops). Lineage: Eukaryota; Metazoa; Arthropoda; Insecta; Zygentoma; Lepidotrichidae. The record is from RNAcentral.